Molecule: ribosomal RNA, 492 nt
Filed under: uncultured bacterium
Lineage: Bacteria
Description: partial 16S ribosomal RNA
Rfam family: Bacterial small subunit ribosomal RNA
Source: RNAcentral
AGUGAACGCUGGCGGUAGGCCUAACACAUGCAAGUCGAACGGCAGCACAGUAAGAGCUUGCUCUUACGGGUGGCGAGUGGCGGACGGGUGAGGAAUACAUCGGAAUCUACUUUUUCGUGGGGGAUAACGUAGGGAAACUUACGCUAAUACCGCAUACGACCUACGGGUGAAAGCAGGGGAUCUUCGGUCCUUGCGCGAUUGAAUGAGCCGAUGUCGGAUUAGCUAGUUGGCGGGGUAAAGGCCCACCAAGGCGACGAUCCGUAGCUGGUCUGAGAGGAUGAUCAGCCACACUGGAACUGAGACACGGUCCAGACUCCUACGGGAGGCAGCAGUGGGGAAUAUUGGACAAUGGGCGCAAGCCUGAUCCAGCCAUACCGCGUGGGUGAAGAAGGCCUUCGGGUUGUAAAGCCCCUUUGUUGGGAAAGAAAAGCAGCAGGUUAAUACCCCGCUGUUCUGACGGUACCCAAAGAAUAAGCACCGGCUAACUUCGUG